AGUGAACGCUGGCGGUAGGCCUAACACAUGCAAGUCGAACGGCAGCACAGUAAGAUCUUGCUCUUACGGGUAGCGAGUGGCGGACGGGUGAGGAAUACAUCGGAAUCUACUUUUUCGUGGGGGAUAACGUAGGGAAACUUACGCUAAUACCUCAUACGAUCUACGGGUGAAAGCAGGGGAUCUUCGGACCUUGCGCGAUUGAAUGAGCCGAUGUCGCAUUAGCUAGUUGGCGGGGUAAAGGCCCACCAAGGCGACGAUCCGUAGCUGGUCUGAGAGGAUGAUCAGCCACACGGGAACUGAGACACGGUCAAGACUCCUACGGGAGGCAGCAGUGGGGAAUAUUGGACAAUGGGCGCAAGCCUGAUCCAGCCAUACCGCGUGGGUGAAGAAGGCCUUCGGGUUGUAAAGCCCUUUUGUUGGGAAAGAAAAGCAGCAGGUUAAUACCCCGCUGUUCUGACGGUACCCAAAGAAUAAGCACCGGCUAACUUCGUG
This 492-nucleotide ribosomal RNA is filed under the name uncultured bacterium. RNAcentral describes it as "partial 16S ribosomal RNA". It matches the Rfam family "Bacterial small subunit ribosomal RNA", at positions 29 to 507 of the family's 1533-position model. The record is from RNAcentral.